GAUGAACGCUGGCGGCGUGCUUAACACAUGCAAGUCGAGCGAAGAGACUCGGCGCUUGCUGCUCUGACGUUUGCGGCGGAGGUGUGUAUAACACGUGUAUAAUCCACCUUUAUUACUGGGAUCACCUGGGAACACGGGCUCUAAUACCGUAUUAUCUAUUCAACCCAUUGGUUCAGUAGUAAAAGACGGUUUUGCUGGCACUUAUACAUGGGUCCUCGCCGCAUUGGCUAGUUGGUAUGGCAACGGAUUACCAAGGCAACGAUGCGUAGCCGACCUGAGAGCGUGAGCGGCCACACGGGAACUGAGAGACGGUCCAGAGUCCUAGGGGAGGCAGCAGGAGAGAAUCGGCCGCAAUGGGCGAAAGGCUGACGGAGCAACGCCGCGUGAGUGAGGAAGGUCUGCGGAUCUUAGAACUGUGUUAUUAGUGAGGAAAAGAUGAGGAAGUAACUAUGCACGUGGUGACGGUACUUGGUAAGAAAGCGACGGCUAACUACGUG
This 497-nucleotide ribosomal RNA is filed under the name uncultured bacterium. RNAcentral describes it as "partial 16S ribosomal RNA". It matches the Rfam family "Bacterial small subunit ribosomal RNA", at positions 28 to 507 of the family's 1533-position model. The record is from RNAcentral.